AGUCGACGGAGAAUGUAGCAUACAUUCUUAGCGGCGAACGGGUGAGUAACGCGUUGGUGACCUGCCUCGAAGAGAGGGAUAACAGUCCGAAAGGAUUGCUAAUACCUCAUAUGGUUAUAGGGUUUAGAAGCCUAUAACUAAAGGAGUAAUUCACUUCGAGAGGGACCUGCGUACCAUCAGCUAGUUGGUGAGGUAACGGCCCACCAAGGCGAUGACGGUUAGGGGACCUGAGAGGGUGGCCCCCCACAAUGGAACUGAAACACGGUCCAUACACCUACGGGUGGCAGCAGUAGGGAAUAUUAGUUAAUGUGCGAAAGCGCGAACUAGCAACGCCGCGUGUGCGAUGAAGGCCUUCGGGUCGUAAAGCACUUUUCUAAGGGAUGAGGAAGGACAGUACCUUAGGAAUAAGCAUCGGCUAACUACGUGCCAGCAGCCGCGGUAAAACGUAGGAUGCAAGCGUUAUCCGGAUUUACUGGGCGUAAAGCGCGUGUAGGCGGUUUGGUAAGUUGGAUGUGAAAGCUCCUGGCUUAACUGGGAGAGGUCGUUCAAUAUUGCCAAGCUUGAGGAUGGUAGAGGGAGGUGGAAUUCCGAGUGUAGUGGU
RNAcentral lists this ribosomal RNA (601 nucleotides) under uncultured bacterium. RNAcentral describes it as "bacterial SSU rRNA". It matches the Rfam family "Bacterial small subunit ribosomal RNA", at positions 60 to 682 of the family's 1533-position model. The record is from RNAcentral.